UCCUACGGGAGGCAGCAGUGGGAAUAUUGCACAAUGGGCGCAAGCCUGAUGCAGCAACGCCGCGUGAGGGACGAAGGCCUUCGGGUUGUAAACCUCUUUUAGUAGGGAAGAAGCGACUGGGUUUUCCUGGGAGUGACGGUACCUGCAGAAAAAGCACCGGCUAACUACGUGCCAGCAGCCGCGGUAAUACGUAGGGUGCAAGCGUUGUCCGGAAUUAUUGGGCGUAAAGAGCUCGUAGGCGGUUUGUCGCGUCUGCUGUGAAAACCCGAGGCUCAACCUCGGGCCUGCAGUGGGUACGGGCAGACUAGAGUGCGGUAGGGGAGAUUGGAAUUCCUGGUGUAGCGGUGGAAUGCGCAGAUAUCAGGAGGAACACCAAUGGCGAAGGCAGAUCUCUGGGCCGUAACUGACGCUGAGGAGCGAAAGCAUGGGGAGCGAACAGGAUUAGAUACCCUGGUAGUCCAUGCCGUAAACGUUGGGAACUAGAUGUGGGGACCAUUCCACGGUCUCCGUGUCGCAGCUAACGCAUUAAGUUCCCCGCCUGGGGAGUACGGCCGCAAGGCUAAAACUCAAAGGAAUUGACGGGGGCCCGCACAAGCGGCGGAGCAUGCGGAUUAAUUCGAUGCAACGCGAAGAACCUUACCAAGGCUUGACAUAUACCGGAAACGGCUGGAAACAGUCGCCCCGCAAGGUCGGUAUACAGGUGGUGCAUGGUUGUCGUCAGCUCGUGUCGUGAGAUGUUGGGUUAAGUCCCGCAACGAGCGCAACCCUCGUCCUAUGUUGCCAGCACGUAAUGGUGGGAACACAUGGGAUACUGCCGGGGUCAACUCGGAGGAAGGUGGGGAUGACGUCAAAUCAUCACGCCCCUUAUGUCUUGGGCUUCACGCAUGCUACAAUGGCCGGUACAAAGGGCUGCGAUACCGCAAGGUGGAGCGAAUCCCAAAAAGCCGGUCUCAGUUCGGAUUGAGGUCUGCAACUCGACCUCAUGAAGUCGGAGUCGCUAGUAAUCGCAGAUCAGCAACGCUGCGGUGAAUACGUUCCCGGGCCUUGUACACACCGCC
This 1058-nucleotide ribosomal RNA is filed under the name uncultured Cryobacterium sp. RNAcentral describes it as "bacterial SSU rRNA". It matches the Rfam family "Bacterial small subunit ribosomal RNA", at positions 337 to 1394 of the family's 1533-position model. The record is from RNAcentral. Lineage: Bacteria; Bacillati; Actinomycetota; Actinomycetes; Micrococcales; Microbacteriaceae.